GUCAGCUCGUGUCGUGAGAUGUUGGUUAAGUCCGCAACGAGCGCAACCCCUAUUGUUAGUUUGCCAUCAUUCAGUUGGGCACUCUAGCGAGACUGCCGGUAAUAAACCGGAGGAAGGUGGGGAUGACGUCAAAUCAUCAUGCCCCUUAUGACCUGGGCUACACACGUGCUACAAUGGUUGGUACAACGAGUUGCGAGUCGGUGACGGCGAGCUAAUCUCUUAAAGCCAAUCUCAGUUCGGAUUGUAGGCUGCAACUCGCCUACAUGAAGUCGGAAUCGCUAGUAAUCGCGGAUCAGCACGCCGCGGUGAAUACGUUCCCGGGCCUU
RNAcentral lists this ribosomal RNA (326 nucleotides) under uncultured Streptococcus sp. RNAcentral describes it as "bacterial SSU rRNA". It matches the Rfam family "Bacterial small subunit ribosomal RNA", at positions 1054 to 1382 of the family's 1533-position model. Lineage: Bacteria; Bacillati; Bacillota; Bacilli; Lactobacillales; Streptococcaceae. The record is from RNAcentral.